GUGCUCACUUCGACAGCACAUAUACUAAAACUAGAAUGAUACAGAGAAGAUUGGUAUGGCCUCUGCACAAGAAUGACACACAGAUUCAUGAAGCAUUCCAUAUUUUU
Molecule: small nuclear RNA, 107 nt
Organism: Phyllostomus discolor (pale spear-nosed bat)
Lineage: Eukaryota; Metazoa; Chordata; Mammalia; Chiroptera; Phyllostomidae
Source: RefSeq, a predicted model, not a curated record